GCCCUGUGAUGAGACCAAGGCGAAUACGAGCUUACUGAAUGAGAGUUGGGUUCCUCUUGCCUUGACUGGCAGGUAAUCUUGGCAGUGCAGAGGAGGAUUCCUGCUCUGCUGUAAGGGCCUGCCUACAGUGACUUGGCUCGACCCAAAUUAUUCCUCUGCAGUCACAGUGGAGUAAUUUCUGGGUUGUUGCUGACAGCGUGUGUCUUAUGUCUGUGUGUGUUUGUGUGCUGAAUGUGUGUGUGUGCAAAAGGCAAGAAGUUCACCCAGCUUUCUUUUACUGUUCAGUGAGCCAUGAGUUUUGUCUUUGGUAAUCUGAGGGCU
This is a small nucleolar RNA of Oreochromis niloticus (Nile tilapia), 321 nucleotides long. The record is from Ensembl. Lineage: Eukaryota; Metazoa; Chordata; Actinopteri; Cichliformes; Cichlidae.